RNAcentral lists this unclassified non-coding RNA (689 nucleotides) under Aspergillus amoenus. RNAcentral describes it as "sequence contains ITS1, 5.8S rRNA gene, ITS2". The stretch from base 200 to 353 matches the Rfam family "5.8S ribosomal RNA". The record is from RNAcentral. Lineage: Eukaryota; Fungi; Ascomycota; Eurotiomycetes; Eurotiales; Aspergillaceae.
UCGUAACAAGGUUUCCGUAGGUGAACCUGCGGAAGGAUCAUUACUGAGUGCGGGCUGCCUCCGGGCGCCCAACCUCCCACCCGUGACUACCUAACACUGUUGCUUCGGCGGGGAGCCCUCUCGGGGGCGAGCCGCCGGGGACUACUGAACUUCAUGCCUGAGAGUGAUGCAGUCUGAGUCUGAAUAUAAAAUCAGUCAAAACUUUCAACAAUGGAUCUCUUGGUUCCGGCAUCGAUGAAGAACGCAGCGAACUGCGAUAAGUAAUGUGAAUUGCAGAAUUCAGUGAAUCAUCGAGUCUUUGAACGCACAUUGCGCCCCCUGGCAUUCCGGGGGGCAUGCCUGUCCGAGCGUCAUUGCUGCCCAUCAAGCCCGGCUUGUGUGUUGGGUCGUCGUCCCCCCCGGGGGACGGGCCCGAAAGGCAGCGGCGGCACCGUGUCCGGUCCUCGAGCGUAUGGGGCUUUGUCACCCGCUCGAUUUAGGGCCGGCCGGGCGCCAGCCGACGUCCAACCAUUUUUCUUCAGGUUGACCUCGGAUCAGGUAGGGAUACCCGCUGAACUUAAGCAUAUCAAUAAGCGGAGGAAAAGAAACCAACCGGGAUUGCCCCAGUAACGGCGAGUGAAGCGGCAAGAGCUCAAAUUUGAAAUCUGGCCCCUCCGGGGUCCGAGUUGUAAUUUGCAGAGGAUGCUUCG